This 253-nucleotide ribosomal RNA is filed under the name uncultured bacterium. RNAcentral describes it as "partial 16S ribosomal RNA". It matches the Rfam family "Bacterial small subunit ribosomal RNA", at positions 524 to 776 of the family's 1533-position model. The record is from RNAcentral.
UACGUAGGGUGCAAGCGUUGUCCGGAAUUAUUGGGCGUAAAGAGCUCGUAGGCGGUCUGUCACGUCGGAUGUGAAAACCCGAGGCUCAACCUCGGGCCUGCAGUCGAUACGGGCAAACUAGAGUACUGCAGGGGAGACUGGAAUUCCUGGUGUAGCGGUGAAAUGCGCAGAUAUCAGGAGGAACACCGGUGGCGAAGGCGGGUCUCUGGGCAGUAACUGACGCUGAGGAGCGAAAGCGUGGGGAGCAAACAGG